RNAcentral lists this ribosomal RNA (483 nucleotides) under uncultured bacterium. RNAcentral's name for it is "partial 16S ribosomal RNA". It matches the Rfam family "Bacterial small subunit ribosomal RNA", at positions 28 to 507 of the family's 1533-position model. The record is from RNAcentral.
GACGAACGCUGGCGGCGUGCUUAACACAUGCAAGUCGAACGCUGAAGCUCAGCUUUUGUUGGGUGGAUGAGUGGCGAACGGGUGAGUAACACGUGAGUAACCUGCCCCCUUCUUUGGGAUAACGCCCGGAAACGGGUGCUAAUACUGGAUAUUCACUGGUCUUCGCAUGGGGGUUGGUGGAAAGGGUUUUUCUGGUGGGGGAUGGGCUCGCGGCCUAUCAGCUUGUUGGUGGGGUGAUGGCCUACCAAGGCUUUGACGGGUAGCCGGCCUGAGAGGGUGACCGGUCACAUUGGGACUGAGAUACGGCCCAGACUCCGACGGGAGGCAGCAGUGGGGAAUAUUGCACAAUGGGCGCAAGCCUGAUGCAGCGACGCCGCGUGAGGGAUGGAGGCCUUCGGGUUGGGAACCUCUUUCGCUCAUGGUCAAGCCGCAACAAUGGUUGUGGUGAGGGUAGUGGGUAAAGAAGCGCCGGCUAACUACGUG